AGAGUUUGAUCAUGGCUCAGGAUGAACGCUGGCGGCGUGCCUAAUACAUGCAAGUCGAGCGAACAGACGAGGAGCUUGCUCCUCUGACGUUAGCGGCGGACGGGUGAGUAACACGUGGAUAACCCACCUAUAAGACUGGGAUAACUUCGGGAAACCGGAGCUAAUACCGGAUAAUAUAUUGAACCGCAUGGUUCAAUAGUGAAAGACGGUUUUGCUGUCACUUAUAGAUGGAUCCGCGCCGCAUUAGCUAGUUGGUAAGGUAAACGGCUUACCCAAGGCAACGAUGCGGUAGCCGACCUGAGAGGGUGAUCGGCCACACUGGAACUGAGACACGGUCCAGACUCCUACGGGAGGCAGCAGUAGGGAAUCUUCCGCAAUGGGCGAAAGCCUGACGGAGCAACGCCGCGUGAGUGAUGAAGGUCUUCGGAUCGUAAAACUCUGUUAUUAGGGAAGAACAAAUGUGUAAGUAACUAUGCACGUCUUGACGGUACCUAAUCAGAAAGCCACGGCUAACUACGUGCCAGCAGCCGCGGUAAUACGUAGGUGGCAAGCGUUAUCCGGAAUUAUUGGGCGUAAAGCGCGCGUAGGCGGUUUUUUAMGUCUGAUGUGAAAGCCCACGGCUCAACCGUGGAGGGUCAUUGGAAACUGGAAAACUUGAGUGCAGAAGAGGAAAGUGGAAUUCCAUGUGUAGCGGUGAAAUGCGCAGAGAUAUGGAGGAACACCAGUGGCGAAGGCGACUUUCUGGUCUGUAACUGACGCUGAUGUGCGAAAGCGUGGGGAUCAAACAGGAUUAGAUACCCUGGUAGUCCACGCCGUAAACGAUGAGUGCUAAGUGUUAGGGGGUUUCCGCCCCUUAGUGCUGCAGCUAACGCAUUAAGCACUCCGCCUGGGGAGUACGACCGCAAGGUUGAAACUCAAAGGAAUUGACGGGGGCCCGCACAAG
RNAcentral lists this ribosomal RNA (943 nucleotides) under Staphylococcus epidermidis. RNAcentral describes it as "bacterial SSU rRNA". It matches the Rfam family "Bacterial small subunit ribosomal RNA", at positions 8 to 929 of the family's 1533-position model. Lineage: Bacteria; Bacillati; Bacillota; Bacilli; Caryophanales; Staphylococcaceae. The record is from RNAcentral.